GACGAACGCUGGCGGCGUGCUUAACACAUGCAAGUCGAACGGUGAAGCGCCUUCCUUUUUGGUGGGUGUGGAUGAGUGGCGAACGGGUGAGUAACACGUGAGUAACCUGCCCCCUUCUUCUGGAUAACCGCAUGAAAGUGUGGCUAAUACGGGAUAUUCUGGGUCUGUCGCAUGAUGGGUCUGGGAAAGAUAUUGUUUCGGUGGGGGAUGGGCUCGCGGCCUAUCAGCUUGUUGGUGGGGUGAUGGCCUACCAAGGCGGUGACGGGUAGCCGGCCUGAGAGGGUGGACGGUCACACUGGGACUGAGACACGGCCCAGACUCCUACGGGAGGCAGCAGUGGGGAAUAGUGCACAAUGGGCGCAAGCCUGAUGCAGCGACGCCGCGUGAGGGAUGGAGGCCUUCGGGUUGUGAACCUCUUUCGCCAGUGAAGCAGGCCUGCCUCGUUUGUGGGUGGGUUGACGGUAGCUGGAUAGGAAGCGCCGGCUAACUACGUG
This 494-nucleotide ribosomal RNA is filed under the name uncultured bacterium. RNAcentral describes it as "partial 16S ribosomal RNA". It matches the Rfam family "Bacterial small subunit ribosomal RNA", at positions 28 to 507 of the family's 1533-position model. The record is from RNAcentral.